Long non-coding RNA from Hippocampus zosterae (dwarf seahorse), 406 nucleotides. RefSeq lists it as uncharacterized. The record is from RefSeq and is a predicted model, not a curated record. Lineage: Eukaryota; Metazoa; Chordata; Actinopteri; Syngnathiformes; Syngnathidae. The transcript is spliced from 2 exons.
UUUUUUUGCAUCAUAGAGAGGAGGGUCUGAUGCAAUCUGUGAAUGAGAAUAAGCCGUUUGCAUUGUAAAUCAUGUAAAAAAGCGACCAGUAGGUGGCAGUGGUGCCUCACGUGAUUGAAAUGCAUGCUUUUACAAAAAGCUCUUUUCUCCGUUUUUUUGCCCAGGAAUCACCAUUUCCAUGAAACUUAGCCAUUUUGUAAUGCCGAUUGCUGAAGAAUGGAAAAAGACAGAAGCAUUUUUUUCUGCUGUAAGAACAGAGUCCAAACUUUAUUUUGGUAGGCUCCAUGUUUAUAUAACAUUAGAACCAAAUAUUCUGUGGGCCUUGCAAGAUCAGUCAAAAUCCAGUAAAACGCUGGGAAUGAGGGGGUUGCUCCAGUGAAAAUGGCUGGAAUUGAAUGAGUUAAAA